UACAGAGGGUGCAAGCGUUGUCCGGAAUCACUGGGCGUAAAGGGCGCGUAGGCGGCCUGAUAAGUCGGGGGUGAAAUUCUGCGGCUUAACCGCAGGACGGCCUUCGAGACUGUCGGGCUUGAGCACGGUAGAGGCUGGUGGAAUUCCCGGUGUAGCGGUGGAAUGCGUAGAGAUCGGGAAGAACAUCGGUGGCGAAGGCGGCCAGCUGGGCCGUUGCUGACGCUGAGGCGCGAAAGCUAGGGGAGCGAACGGG
Molecule: ribosomal RNA, 253 nt
Filed under: uncultured bacterium
Lineage: Bacteria
Description: partial 16S ribosomal RNA
Rfam family: Bacterial small subunit ribosomal RNA
Source: RNAcentral